CCUACGGGGAGCAGCAGUGGGGAAUAUUGGACAAUGGGCGAAAGCCUGAUCCAGCCAUGCCGCGUGUGUGAAGAAGGCCUUCGGGUUGUAAAGCACUUUCAGUGGGGAAGAAAGCCUUGGGGCUAAUACCCUCGAGGAAGGACAUCACCCACAGAAGAAGCACCGGCUAACUCCGUGCCAGCAGCCGCGGUAAUACGGAGGGUGCGAGCGUUAAUCGGAAUUACUGGGCGUAAAGCGCGCGUAGGCGGUCUGAUAAGCCGGUUGUGAAAGCCCCGGGCUCAACCUGGGAACGGCAUCCGGAACUGGCAGGCUAGAGUGCAGGAGAGGAAGGUAGAAUUCCCGGUGUAGCGGUGAAAUGCGUAGAGAUCGGGAGGAAUACCAGUGGCGAAGGCGGUCUUCUGGACUGACACUGACGCUGAGGUGCGAAAGCGUGGGUAGCAAACAGGAUUAGAUACCCCAGUAGUC
RNAcentral lists this ribosomal RNA (465 nucleotides) under Vreelandella stevensii. Its description in RNAcentral is "partial 16S ribosomal RNA". It matches the Rfam family "Bacterial small subunit ribosomal RNA", at positions 338 to 795 of the family's 1533-position model. Lineage: Bacteria; Pseudomonadati; Pseudomonadota; Gammaproteobacteria; Oceanospirillales; Halomonadaceae. The record is from RNAcentral.